UGGAGACGUAUUCCCUCUCUUCAUGAAACUUAAAUCGUUGUACCAAGAUUCAAGAAAGAACACGAAGACGUAGAUAUUUGGGUGCAGGUAUUGCCAAGGUGAGUCCAAAACAAAGUGGGAGGGAGAUGCAGCUCCGGUCACAAAGCAGAGGAGAGGGAGUGCUGCGUGGGAGACGCCAGGCGGAAAAAGAGUGGAAGAUGGAAGCACAGGGGGCCCCUUGCUAUAGGCUGCUAUGUGCGGGAAAGGAUCGGCUAACACGGUACAACACUCUGCUACUCAUUUAUUUAAUCUGUGUGUUUCGCCUCAUAAAGGCACAGCAAAGCCGAGGCAAGAAAUCAAAAGACCUCUAAUUCCAUUUCAGGACCCCAAGCCUCAUCCAUCAACAGCAACCCAAGAAGAAAAGCAAGUAAGCAGCUCCCGCCCAGUAAUAACACCAUAUUUAACAGGAUUAAAAGCUCAACAUGUUACAGCUACUGAUUGGCACCUCAUUUGAAUUUUGCAUGUGAACAAAUCCGUGCCUCUAUAUGAAGACUAUUUCCUGCUGGCACUGUGAAUAAAGAAGAAUGGCAGAUUUCUUUUAUAGAGCUUUAGUAACAUUUCCAGGAUUGUCGUCUGACUCAGUACCAUUAUUAUGGUUUAAUCCUGUAUAUUCUAACACAGACAGCUUAGUACACAAUUGCCGGGACCUUCUUUAGACAAAAUUAUAAUGGCAGCAGAUAUUAUUCUUCUUGGGCAUCGAAUACCUAAUAAAUGUUACAGCAAAAAGGCUUUAUUUACCAAUCUAAAUGAAAUGCACUGCUGAAAUUUGCCUAAAUAAUCACAAACAUAGACAUUGUCUGGCGUAAGGUUUUUGUGCUAAUGGAGAAAUGCAUGUGAAUGCCAGGCAUGAGUGCUUUUCCACCCAAAAGUCCUCUGGUGACCCUGGCAGAUAAUAGCCCAAAUGAAUAGUAGUAAAAUCUGCUAGAAAUAGCAUUAAGAUAUUAUAUACAGGCACAGGGCAGUCAUGCAGUGGUAAUCCUUACAGUUACAGUUAGGAUAACUAUUCAUCCAGUGGAUUGUAAGCUCUUGUGAGCAGGGCCCUUAAAAGCUAUUUUAAUUAUUGUAAAACCCUGGUUGUAAUACAUUACUGUUAAAUACUCAAUAACUUGCUGUAUAAAUGAUGAUGAUAAUGAUGAGGUACACUCAUCAACAGUGCAAUCGCUUAGGGCUCUGGUACACGGG
Long non-coding RNA from Xenopus tropicalis (tropical clawed frog), 1221 nucleotides. RefSeq lists it as uncharacterized. NCBI's taxonomy places the organism in Eukaryota, Metazoa, Chordata, Amphibia, Anura, Pipidae. The transcript has 3 exons. The record is from RefSeq and is a predicted model, not a curated record.